UUUGAGGGGAAUGUUGGCUGGCUCGAGGCUUUGGCAAAUAUAAACGUUUGAAACUCUCAAGAGUCAAGGCUUCGGACCAGGCUUCAUUCCUCUCAAA
Molecule: microRNA precursor, 97 nt
Filed under: Theobroma cacao (cacao)
Lineage: Eukaryota; Viridiplantae; Streptophyta; Magnoliopsida; Malvales; Malvaceae
Description: pre miRNA mir-166
Rfam family: mir-166 microRNA precursor family
About the family: This family represents the plant microRNA (miRNA) precursor mir-166. Animal miRNAs are transcribed as ~70nt precursors and subsequently processed by the Dicer enzyme to give a ~22nt product. In plants the precursor sequences may be longer, and the carpel factory (caf) enzyme appears to be involved in processing.
Source: Rfam by way of RNAcentral